Molecule: ribosomal RNA, 458 nt
Filed under: uncultured bacterium
Lineage: Bacteria
Description: partial 16S ribosomal RNA
Rfam family: Bacterial small subunit ribosomal RNA
Source: RNAcentral
AAUGAACGCUGGCGGCAUGCCUAACACAUGCAAGUCGAACGAGACCAUCGGGAGUAGUGGCGCAUGGGUGUGUAGCGCGUCGGAACCUUAACUUAGGGAUGGAAUAACUCUCCGACAGGGGUGCUAAUGCCGGAUAAUGUCUACGAACCAAAGAUUUAUCGACCUGGGAUGGGCACGGGUUGGAUUAGCUUGUUGGUAAGGUAAAGGCCUACCACGGCAACGAUGCAUAGCUGGUCUGAGAGGGUGAUCAGCCACACUGGAACUGAGACACGGCCCAGACUCCUACGGGAGGCAGCAGUAGGGAAUCUUCCGCAAUGGGCGAAAGCUUGAUGGAGCAAUGCCGCGUGAGUGAUGAAGGUCUUCGGAUCGUAAAACUCUGUUAUUAGGGAAGAAAAAAUGUGUAAGUAACUAUGCACGUCUUGACGGUACCUAAACAGAAAGCCACGGCUAACUACGUG